Non-coding RNA from Paramuricea clavata, 1326 nucleotides. The record is from the annotation of a GenBank genome assembly. NCBI's taxonomy places the organism in Eukaryota, Metazoa, Cnidaria, Anthozoa, Malacalcyonacea, Plexauridae.
CGCGUCCUGCCUCCAGAGCGCCCGCGUCCGGCCUCCACGACGCCCGCGUCUUGCGUCUGCUCUGCCCGCGUCCUGCCUCCAAAGCGCCCGCGUCCAGCCUCUAGUUAAAAACUGCGUCCGCUUGGACGCAGUCGUCGUAACAUAAUCGGAAAAACGAACUAAUAUUUGCAUCAUACUCGUAGUUUGUCGUGAGAAUACAGAUCAGUGUCACUGAUCGGAGAAGCAAAGAAUAAAAAGUUGAAUCCGAAAUCGAGUUUCAUUGAACCUAAGCGUUACACUUAGUAUAACCAUUUUAUAAUGUUAUACGUUAUACUACAGUAAGCGUAGUGCUUUCACAAUUCAAUCACACGUACUGGAGUGGCGAUCGAAGCGUAUAUGACUGUAUAUUGGAGCGUAAAAUAGACAUAAACUAUAUAUAAAUAUAAUGUAGACACAUAUACUAAACUCAGUGAGAUCACGACUACAACGAGUAUGUAUCUCGCAAUACAUUCAUUUGCUACUCAAAUUCUGACUUACCUCGUAGAAGAUUGCCGAUUAGUUGAUAUGCAAUUCUGUAUUUGAAUAAUAUUAUGUCGCCGUAACUCGUCAGUAUAUUAAAACGAAGAUGCUCAUUUACAAUAUAUAUAGUGCUUUUGAUUUUUCAUAUAAAAUACCAUUACUACGAGCCACUAUAUAACUUUAUUUACAGCAACAAGUUUGUGUUGUUUUUCCAAAGCAGUAAAUGCACAUGGUGAUAUGUCAUAUAAAUUGAUAAUUACCAUAUAAUUUCUGGAUAAAUGACUUCUCUUAAUCCCUUAAUGGAAUACCUUUACAUGUCCAGGAAACAGUCUUUGUGUUUCAACACGGUUCAGUGACUGUGACUCAUCGCUUGAUUUUCAAAGUUGCAGUAUAAUUCGCUAAAGCUGAAGUGAAGAGCUCAGACUAAUAUCACUCGAUCCGUAUUACUAUCAGACUAAUAAAAUGAGGUAUCGAUCGCUACUCGUCAACCAAAACGUAUUUUGGGUUUCUUCGAAGAAGAUAUAAAACCAUACGUGCAUUUUGCCAACCGGCAACGUUAAAAGAUUACUGGGUUUAAACCAAACGUUAUACGAAAGUGCGAAAGUAGAGAUCAAAUACGAAAAGGAACUUUACGAAGCACAAAUUCUGAAAUUUCACGGUAAGUUUAAUAUUAGAAAUAUAAAUAUCUAGGAUUCUAGGUCUGUAACGCAUGUGUAUAUAAGCAUAAAAAUGUGGUGUGAAAUCGCUAACAUGAAUAUUUUCCGACGCCCACGGUUUGUUUAUGAAAAGCGAAACGCGAUAAUUUCCGACGAUCUACGAAUAGAACUC